RNAcentral lists this ribosomal RNA (2019 nucleotides) under Triticum aestivum (bread wheat). RNAcentral describes it as "partial small subunit ribosomal RNA". Lineage: Eukaryota; Viridiplantae; Streptophyta; Magnoliopsida; Poales; Poaceae. The record is from RNAcentral.
AUGUUUGAGCUCUUGACGAAGCAAGAUGGGCCCAAAGCUGAGGUGAUCAAGUUGCUCACUCAAGAUGAGGCUGACUGUGAGCCACUGCUGGCUGAAGUGGAUUGUGGACAUGAGUCAUUGCUGGCUGAAGAGGAGGGCGGGUGUGGGUCCCCGCUGGCUGAAGACGAGGACGUAUCUGAGUUGCCAUUGGUUGAAGAGGAGGAUGGAUGUGAGUCACCGCUCACUGACAAGGACUUAUGUGAGUCUCUGCAGGUGGAAGAAGUAGAAGAAGACGACUGUGAGUCGCCCAAGGUGGAAGAGGAAGAAGAAGAGUGUGAGUCGCUGAAGGUAGAAGAGGAGGAUGUAUGUGAGCCAGCGCCUGCUGAAGAAGACGAGUGUGAGUCGCCACAGGCAGAAGGGGAGGCCCCAUGUGAGUUGAAAACACGAAAACAACCCAAGCUGGUCGCCAUUGUUGGAGUUGGAGGAACAGCUCUUGCGAACCAAGUGUAUGAAGAGCUCAGAGUAAAAGAUUUUGACUACUGGCCUUUUAUAUCAAUGUCGCCAAAUCCAGACAUGACAAGUGCCCUGACAGCACUUCUCCUUGAACUUACCGGUGAAUUAAAGAAAGCAGCGAGCGUGCAACAACUGAUUAUUGAUAUCAAUGAAUCGCUACUAGACAAAAGAUACUUAAUUGUCCUUGACGGUAUAUGCCAGAAAGAAACAUGGGAUGUCAUUAAGCAUGCAUUCCCCAUGACAAGCUGUGGCAUAAUAAUCACCACUAGCCCGUGUGAAGAUAUCGCCGAAUUAUGCCGGUCAUGGUUCAAUGGGCAUAUUUACCAUAUAAGACUUCUUGGUAUGGUACAUUCAAGACUGCUAUUUCACCAAAGAUUAUUCAACUCUGAUGACGACUGCCAUCCACACCUUGAAGAAGUUUCUGAUAAAAUAUUGGAAAAAUGUGAUGACUUACCUUUGGCAAUCUUAGUUACAUCUGGUUUGUUGGCUAACACAGAAGGAACAGAGCAUCUAUGGAAUCACAUGGCAGAUUCAAUUGGGUGUGCACUUGAAACAAGUGAUAUAGUCGAAAGGAUGAUGAAGAUUUUGUCACUUCAUUAUUUUGAUCUUCAUCCUCGUGUCAAAACUUGUCUCUUGCACCUCAACAUGUUCCCAAAAGGGUCAACCAUUAAGAUGAAGGACCUGAUAUGGAGAUGGACUGCUGAAGGAUUCUUUCAUGGAGAACAAAGAAAUGCAGCACAUGAGUUAGGAGAGAGGUGUUUUAAUGAGCUCCUGAAUAGGAGUUUGAUCCAACCUGUGAAGAUAGACCAGUAUGGUAAGGUUAAAAGCUGUCAAGUUCAUGAAACAGUUAUGGACUACAUCAUAUCCAAGUCUGUCGAAGAUAACUUUGUUACUGUCGUUGGUGUUCCAUGUCCAACUAUUGAUCGGACACAAAUGAAAGUUCGUCGAUUCUCUCUCCAAGCUACAGAAGAAGGCUAUUCUUUUCCAGGGAUUAACUUGGUAUUGUCUCAUGCCCGAUCACUUAAAGUAUUUGGAUUACUGUGGACAAUCCCUUCUCUAGAUGAGUUCAAGCAUUUGCGUGUUGUGGACUUUGGAGGUUUCAGUAACUUGGGAGACGACCAUCUUGCAAAUAUUGGGAGGUUAUUCCAGCUGAGGUACCUGAACCUCUCUUGGACAAGAGCAUGUGAGCUCCCAGAAGAAAUAGGACAUCUAUCUUGCUUAGAGAUGUUGGACCUAACAGCCACAGGGGUAUCCGAGUUACCAUCAUCUAUAGUUAAUCUAGAAAAAUUGGUUCAUCUAUUAAUCGGCGAGUUUGUUAAAUUUCCGGAAGGAGGAAUUGGGAAGAUGCAAGCACUAGAGACGUUGAAACAAGUCAGAGCCUUUAAGCAGCCAAUUCAAUUUCUUCAAGAUUUUGGCAAGCUACAGAAUCUGUGGAAGCUGAAUAUCGAUCUUACCAAUGAUCAAGAGGACACUGAAGAUACAAAGGAGUGCAUGAAAGCUAUUGCAUCUUCUCUCUAUGAUAUAUGA